RNAcentral lists this ribosomal RNA (497 nucleotides) under uncultured bacterium. RNAcentral describes it as "partial 16S ribosomal RNA". It matches the Rfam family "Bacterial small subunit ribosomal RNA", at positions 28 to 507 of the family's 1533-position model. The record is from RNAcentral.
GAUGAACGCUGGCGGCGUGCCUAAUACAUGCAAGUCGAGCGAACAGACGAGGAGCUUUCUCCUCUUACGUUAGCGGCGGACGGGUGAGUAACACGUGGAUAACCUACCUAUAAGACUGGGAUAACUUCGGGAAACCGGAGCUAAUACCGGAUAAUAUAUUGAACCGCAUGGUUCGAUAGUGAAAGACGGUUUUGCUUUCACUUAUACAUGGAUCCGCGCCGCAUUAGCUAGUUGGUAAGGUAACGGCUUACCAAGGCAACGAUUCGUAGCCGACCUGAGAGGGUGACCGGCCACACUGGAACUGAGACACGGUCCAGACUCCUACGGGAGGCAGCAGUAGGGAAUAUUCCGCAAUGGGCGAAAGCCUGACGGAGCAACGCCGCGUGAGUGAUGAAGGUCUUCGGAUCGUAAAACUCUGUUAGUAGGGAAGAACAAAUGUGUAAGUAAAUAUGCACGUAUUGACGGUACCUAAUCAGAAAGCCACGGCUAACUCCGUG